UUAAGUUAUUAAGGGCGCACGGUGGAUGCCUUGGCACUAGAAGCCGAUGAAGGACGUUACUAACGACGAUAUGCUUUGGGGAGCUGUAAGUAAGCUUUGAUCCAGAGAUUUCCGAAUGGGGAAACCCAGCAUGAGUUAUGUCAUGUUAUCGAUAUGUGAAUACAUAGCAUAUCAGAAGGCACACCCGGAGAACUGAAACAUCUUAGUACCCGGAGGAAGAGAAAGAAAAUUCGAUUCCCUUAGUAGCGGCGAGCGAAACGGGAAGAGCCCAAACCAACAAGCUUGCUUGUUGGGGUUGUAGGACACUCUAUACGGAGUUACAAAGGACGACAUUAGACGAAUCAUCUGGAAAGAUGAAUCAAAGAAGGUAAUAAUCCUGUAGUCGAAAAUGUUGUCUCUCUUGAGUGGAUCCUGAGUACGACGGAGCACGUGAAAUUCCGUCGGAAUCUGGGAGGACCAUCUCCUAAGGCUAAAUACUCUCUAGUGACCGAUAGUGAACCAGUACCGUGAGGGAAAGGUGAAAAGCACCCCGGAAGGGGAGUGAAAUAGAACCUGAAACCGUGUGCUUACAAGUAGUCAGAGCCCGUUAAUGGGUGAUGGCGUGCCUUUUGUAGAAUGAACCGGCGAGUUACGAUUUGAUGCAAGGUUAAGCAGUAAAUGUGGAGCCGUAGCGAAAGCGAGUCUGAAUAGGGCGUUUAGUAUUUGGUCGUAGACCCGAAACCAGGUGAUCUACCCUUGGUCAGGUUGAAGUUCAGGUAACACUGAAUGGAGGACCGAACCGACUUACGUUGAAAAGUGAGCGGAUGAACUGAGGGUAGCGGAGAAAUUCCAAUCGAACCUGGAGAUAGCUGGUUCUCUCCGAAAUAGCUUUAGGGCUAGCCUCAAGUGAUGAUUAUUGGAGGUAGAGCACUGUUUGGACGAGGGGCCCCUCUCGGGUUACCGAAUUCAGACAAACUCCGAAUGCCAAUUAAUUUAACUUGGGAGUCAGAACAUGGGUGAUAAGGUCCGUGUUCGAAAGGGAAACAGCCCAGACCACCAGCUAAGGUCCCAAAAUAUAUGUUAAGUGGAAAAGGAUGUGGCGUUGCCCAGACAACUAGGAUGUUGGCUUAGAAGCAGCCAUCAUUUAAAGAGUGCGUAAUAGCUCACUAGUCGAGUGACACUGCGCCGAAAAUGUACCGGGGCUAAACAUAUUACCGAAGCUGUGGAUUGUCCUUUGGACAAUGGUAGGAGAGCGUUCUAAGGGCGUUGAAGCAUGAUCGUAAGGACAUGUGGAGCGCUUAGAAGUGAGAAUGCCGGUGUGAGUAGCGAAAGACGGGUGAGAAUCCCGUCCACCGAUUGACUAAGGUUUCCAGAGGAAGGCUCGUCCGCUCUGGGUUAGUCGGGUCCUAAGCUGAGGCCGACAGGCGUAGGCGAUGGAUAACAGGUUGAUAUUCCUGUACCACCUAUAAUCGUUUUAAUCGAUGGGGGGACGCAGUAGGAUAGGCGAAGCGUGCGAUUGGAUUGCACGUCUAAGCAGUAAGGCUGAGUAUUAGGCAAAUCCGA
This 1542-nucleotide ribosomal RNA is filed under the name Staphylococcus aureus. Its description in RNAcentral is "bacterial LSU rRNA". It matches the Rfam family "Bacterial large subunit ribosomal RNA", at positions 3 to 1545 of the family's 2925-position model. Lineage: Bacteria; Bacillati; Bacillota; Bacilli; Caryophanales; Staphylococcaceae. The record is from RNAcentral.